GACGAACGCUGGCGGCGUGCUUAACACAUGCAAGUCGAACGCUGAAGCUCAGCUUGCUGGGUGGAUGAGUGGCGAACGGGUGAGUAACACGUGAGUAACCUGCCCUCUUCUUUGGGAUAACGCCCGGAAACGGGUGCUAAUACUGGAUAUUCACUGAUUUUCGCAUGGGGGUUGGUGGAAAGGUUUUUUCUGGUGGGGGAUGGGCUCGCGGACUAUCAGCUUGUUGGCGGGGUGAUGGCCUACCAAGGUUUUGACGGGUCGCAGGCGGGGGAGGGUGACCGGGCACAUUGGACCUGAGAUACGGCCCAGACUCCGACGGGAGGCAGCAGUGGGGAAUAAUGCACGAUGGGCGAAAGCCUGAUGCAGCGACGCCGCGUGAGGGAUUGAGGCCUGCGGGUUGUAGACCUCUGUCGCUCAUGGUCAUGCCGCAGCUUUGGGUUGUGGUGAGGGUAGUGGGUAAAAAAGCGCCGGCUAACUACGUG
RNAcentral lists this ribosomal RNA (482 nucleotides) under uncultured bacterium. Its description in RNAcentral is "partial 16S ribosomal RNA". It matches the Rfam family "Bacterial small subunit ribosomal RNA", at positions 28 to 507 of the family's 1533-position model. The record is from RNAcentral.